Cyclopterus lumpus (lumpfish) is the source of this 353-nucleotide long non-coding RNA. RefSeq lists it as uncharacterized. The record is from RefSeq and is a predicted model, not a curated record. NCBI's taxonomy places the organism in Eukaryota, Metazoa, Chordata, Actinopteri, Perciformes, Cyclopteridae. The transcript has 3 exons.
GUGGCCGGUGGCCUGUUCUUCCUCUUCACUCUGCUGUGUUUGGUUUGCCUCGCAAGCUCAUCGUUCGACAACGACAAACUGAAGAAUUUCAAAGAAGUCCUUCAGAAAGUGGAACAACAGCUGGACCAUAUGAAGGCCCGAAGGGCCAUUGUUCCAGAUUACAUGACUAGAUAUACUAGUUUCACUGAACAAAUGAUGGCAUUCGUGGACGAAAUCUCAGAAGAAUUUUCUGCCGACUCCAUGCCACUGAAGGGAAUUCUGGAGAACUCCAAGAGCAUCAUGGAGCGGACCAAGACUUUCAUAGAUGGGGAGAAUGAGAAGUUGGAUGCAAGUUUAGCUGACUUGGAACUGAA